Molecule: small RNA, 549 nt
Filed under: Pongo abelii (Sumatran orangutan)
Lineage: Eukaryota; Metazoa; Chordata; Mammalia; Primates; Hominidae
Description: retained intron
Source: RNAcentral
AAACAAAGAAACAAGCCAGCUACGGGGUGCUACUUUGGGAGUUGCUGACUGGUGAGGUGCCCUUUCGAGGCAUUGAUGGCUUAGCAGUCGCUUAUGGAGUGGCCAUGAACAAACUCGCCCUUCCUAUUCCUUCUACAUGCCCAGAACCUUUUGCCAAACUCAUGGAAGGUAAGUAAGCCCUGGCCUGAACCAAACUGGAGACACUUUGCCUCGUGUAAGCACUGGGUAGAGUUUGGCCAAUUCUAUGAGAUCAGUUACUGAAAGAGGAGAUAAAGUUUCAGUCACCUAAGGAGGAAUCCUCUGGGCAACUGGAAAGGCUUCUUCAAGAUGAUGUCCACACCCUGCUGCAAGCAGGUCAUAUCUCUAGGGACUGUAGAAGUGAAAUUAGUAACAAAAGCCCGCUAUCCGGCACUUCAGCAUAUUAUUAUUUAAUGCAAAAUCAGAAAGUACAGUAACUUUUAUGUCAGGACCUCUGAAUACCUUAAGAGACAUGAAGAACAUCUUAGGAGAAAGAACUCUAAAAGUCAUCUAGUCAAACCCCAUAAUUUU